Molecule: transfer RNA, 83 nt
Filed under: Helicana wuana
Lineage: Eukaryota; Metazoa; Arthropoda; Malacostraca; Decapoda; Varunidae
Description: tRNA-Trp
Source: RNAcentral
UUUUAUUUUCAUUUAGAAUUUUAAGUUAUUUAAACUAAAAGCCUUCAAAGCUUUCUAAAAAAGUCUUAAUCUUUUAAAUUCUA